AGGGGAUAAUGGGGUCACGUGGUGUCAGAGGAGAUCCUGGGAGGCUCGGACCACCUGGUCCAGUAGGACAUGCAGGACCAAAGGGACACGAGGGAAGUAAAGGAGAACCUGGGGAACUGGGACUCAAGGGAGAGCCAGGACCUCCAGGCCCACCAGGGGAGUCGGGCGAUGAUGGUCUUCCAGGAAUUCAGGGUCCUGAGGCUCUGCCGGGGUUAGAGG
Molecule: non-coding RNA, 219 nt
Organism: Neolamprologus brichardi
Lineage: Eukaryota; Metazoa; Chordata; Actinopteri; Cichliformes; Cichlidae
Source: RefSeq, a predicted model, not a curated record